UCUCCCAUAUAUCCUGAGCCAUGUGGAUGACAGGAUCUUGGUGCUCUGGCCAGGUGUUAAGCCUGUGCCUCUGAGGUGGGAGAGCCAAGUUCAGGACAUUGGUCCACCAGAGACCUCCCAGAUCCAGGAAUAUCCUUCCUAUGAUGCUGUAUUGGGCACAUCUUCAAAACUCUGCUCAGGAAUCACUUCAUUCAAGCACCUGUCCAUUGAUAAGCUUGAUACUUACUUAACAUUGAUAAACUUGGUUACUUGUGUUCAAGUUCAUUUAGGUUCGAAUGAAACAGCCACAUUGCUGCCUUUGAAGCCCAGAUUGACUCAGUUUGCUGAGGCCAUGACGAAGUUUAUCUGAUAUCAAGGAUUUGGCAACGGAAGCAUUAAAAGACACUCUAUACUCAUGUGCAGUCAUCUUUGGACGUCUGCUGGAAUGGGCCCACAAAAACUCCAAUUAAAUCAACGAGUAGCCCUCUGAAAGAAGAACUCAUCCUGGAGGGAAAGAGAAUCAGGCAAAUGAGCUUGACCCAAUAAUGAAGCUUCAGGUGUCCGAGGGUCAUGGCAGUUCUGAAUCCCGUAUGGCACCUGUCUCUCAGGUCCAACCCCACACACAAACCGCCGAGUGCUAGAGAGCAGAGGUAUCCUGAGAAAAGCUGGAAGGGCUCUCUUCACUCAGGACUCUGUAAGGCACUGAAGCUUAGUGAUGCCCUAGUGACAGCAUAUGACACAAAAGAGUGGUUGGUGGGGAGUGAUGGCUCCAGUUCUGCAGGGAACAUGAUGGAGCUUGGGUGCCUGCAUGACGGGAGUGCCGUGAUGGCCCAGCUCAGGCUGCAGUCAAGGAAGCGUGCGGGUGGAGGCCGUGUCCCUGGCUUGAGAGAGCAGCACUGGGGUGAUUGGAGUGACCUCGAUGCCUGCAUGGGUGUUGGUGCCCACAGAGAUGCUGGCGCCAGUUGGCGUCAUCAUGUUUAGCAAAGGCUGUGGGGAGACCCUGGGGAGGCAAUUUCAUGCAGCCUUGCUAGCCACGGGCUUUUGCUUAAGGGGACUGGGGCAGGAGAGUAGAAAAUGGCAAAAGCUGUGGUGCAUCUGGUAGGUUCUGUGCCUGAGCAUGUGGGAUUCACUCCUGGGGACUCCCAGCAGCACCAGGAUGGACACCCUCAAUGUGGGUGAGAUGAAACUCUGACUCAGGCUGUCAGAGGGCUCCCAUUACUUUUACCCUGGAUUUCCUUGGACUUCCCACAGUGCCUUCAACUAGGUACAUAUAUGCAAAUUUGAGAAUGUCUCUUUAGGAUAAUCAGAGAAUCAGAGUUUCACUUCUUACCUCAUUU
Physeter macrocephalus (sperm whale) is the source of this 1316-nucleotide long non-coding RNA. RefSeq lists it as uncharacterized. The record is from RefSeq and is a predicted model, not a curated record. The transcript is spliced from 4 exons. Lineage: Eukaryota; Metazoa; Chordata; Mammalia; Artiodactyla; Physeteridae.